GCACUCUGGAUAAGCCUGGGAAACUGGGUCUAAUACCGGAUAGGACCACAUUUUGGAUGGUGUGGUGGAAAGUUUUUCGGUGUGGGAUGAGCUCGCGGCCUAUCAGCUUGUUGGUGGGGUAAUGGCCUACCAAGGCGUCGACGGGUAGCCGGCCUGAGAGGGUGUACGGCCACAUUGGGACUGAGAUACGGCCCAG
RNAcentral lists this ribosomal RNA (196 nucleotides) under uncultured Actinomycetales bacterium. Its description in RNAcentral is "partial 16S ribosomal RNA". It matches the Rfam family "Bacterial small subunit ribosomal RNA", at positions 133 to 334 of the family's 1533-position model. The record is from RNAcentral. Lineage: Bacteria; Bacillati; Actinomycetota; Actinomycetes; Actinomycetales.